CCUACGGGGCGCAGCAGUGAGGAAUAUUGGUCAAUGGACGAGAGUCUGAACCAGCCAAGUAGCGUGAAGGAUGACUGCCCUAUGGGUUGUAAACUUCUUUUAUAUGGGAAUAAAAUGUUCCACGUGUGGGAUUUUGUAUGUACCAUAUGAAUAAGGAUCGGCUAACUCCGGGCCAGCAGCCGCGGUAAUACGGAGGAUCCGAGCGUUAUCCGGAUUUAUUGGGUUUAAAGGGAGCGUAGGUGGAUUGUUAAGUCAGUGGUGAAAGUUUGCGGCUCAACCGUAAAAUUGCAGUUGAAACUGGCAGUCUUGAGUACAGUAGAGGUGGGCGGAAUGCGUGGUGUAGCGGUGAAAUGCUUAGAUAUCACGAAGAACUCCGAUUGCGAAGGCAGUUCACUGGACUGCAACUGACACUGAGGCUCGAAAGUGUGGGUAUCAAACAGGAUUAGAUACCCCUGUAGUC
This 460-nucleotide ribosomal RNA is filed under the name uncultured bacterium. RNAcentral describes it as "partial 16S ribosomal RNA". It matches the Rfam family "Bacterial small subunit ribosomal RNA", at positions 338 to 795 of the family's 1533-position model. The record is from RNAcentral.